AUAUGCCAUAAUUACAGCCAUAGUCCUUGAGGACAAAGGGAGCUACUGCUGUCCCCACUUUCCACUCAGGAUGUGUUCAGUGUGUGCUGUGGUUUGUGUUUCAGAAGGCUUUUACGUGUGUGCUAAAGAGUCACAAGUGGACUGUCUACUAAAUGACCUUCCUUUAGAUUUCCUAGUCUUGCUAAGAAAAUAUCUCGACUAAGACACUGACAGAAACCCAGGGUCACUGAAGCAAAGUUCCUCUUUGUUCUCACCAUCAUGUGACUCUAAGAUGAAGACUUAAGUUCAUCACUUUCAAUCAAAGCUGACCAAGCUCUACAACUUCAGGAGAUCUCAAGCUGCUUCCUCUUGAAAGGACAAUGAAAAGUUAAUUAGUUCUGGCAUUUCCCAGGGAUCAUUCAUUCAACAGCCAUGGCUCUAUGAUGGCUAUUUACUGAUCUUCAUGUUCACUGUGAUUGGUGCAGCUAUGGUGAUUAAUCCAAAUGGUCAAAAGGACAAGCCACUCCUGCUCAGUGAUUAGGCCCUCUUUGCAUUGUGGGAGCUAACAGCAACUGGGAUUGCUCUUUUUCUUGUACAGCUAUCAAGCAGCAACCCUGACAAAGGAUGGCAGGUAUU
Molecule: long non-coding RNA, 615 nt
Organism: Peromyscus eremicus (cactus mouse)
Lineage: Eukaryota; Metazoa; Chordata; Mammalia; Rodentia; Cricetidae
Exons: 3
Source: RefSeq, a predicted model, not a curated record